AUGAGAAAGUUUGAGUUUUUAACUGCUGUUUUUUCUCCCCACAGCCUUGAGUCUCUCAUCAAGACCCCAGGUGAUGUAAGGACUGAAGUGCGCACGCAUGAGUUCAACACCAUUCCCAUCCCAUCUCCCGAAAUCCCAAAGAUGCACAGGAGCGGACAGCUAAUCCACUUUAACCACCUCAUCUAUGCAAACUGUACAUUUUUACCGGUUGUUGGCUGAUCCUGUUUAAAUAAAUGUGAGAUUUUUCAUUCGUAAAGUAAAUUAUCCAGAAAGGAUCAGAAAUGGGAAUCAAACUGUUACACUAUUUUUCCCGUCAUUCCGCCGCUGUGUUCCAUCCAAUUCCCUUCUAUGUGUCCAUGGAAGCACACACACUAUUCCCGGGAGACUUGUUGAAAACCGUUAAAUCUGCCCCGCAGCACGUCAGGUCCCCCUUUAAAGCGUUCGAUGCCGGCUGAUUGUUAAAGGAAAACUUUACCCUUUCUGUGCCUAUACAGUUUGUCAUUCCAUGUGGGGAAUACUACAAGCAGACGUUUUUGGAGAUUUAAAUCGGAAGGUGUCUGGGUUUGUACGAGUCGUCAUAUGUAGAAUAGCUGGUGUGUUUAUUCUUAUUUUCUUUUUUGGAGAACUGUAUGUUGAGAAAUCAGAGGAAAGCCAUGAUUGCCUUGCUACCUCAGACUCACAGACACAGUUUUGUUCUCGUGGUUCUUGUUAAACAGUCGUGAUCACUUACAGUUCUAGCUUACUGUGUUGGUGUACACUGCGACGAGGAUUUACCAAGUAUAUAAUAAAAAAAAAAAAAGAAGUCAUCACUGUACCACGACGCGGACUGCCGAGGCUCCCACUCUGGUUGAUUUUUUUCUGCUCCCACUGGCCUUCUAGCACUGGUCCCUCACUGUGUUGUGUUGUUGUGCUCUAUGCUAUCCUGUAAAAACAUGUGAGGCUGAACAACACUACAAUCAUGAUGAACCUCACCAUGGCAGGACUGUGUCGCCCCUCCUGAGGUGUGUAAAAUAGAUCGACCACACUACAUGUAAUAUGGCUACGUUGUUUUAUUCGAAAUAAAAUUUUUAUAUCAAGAACC
RNAcentral lists this long non-coding RNA (1081 nucleotides) under Oryzias javanicus (javanese ricefish). RNAcentral's name for it is "lncRNA (ENSOJAG00000019810.1)". Lineage: Eukaryota; Metazoa; Chordata; Actinopteri; Beloniformes; Adrianichthyidae. The record is from RNAcentral.